Molecule: unclassified non-coding RNA, 400 nt
Filed under: uncultured fungus
Lineage: Eukaryota; Fungi
Description: sequence contains ITS1
Rfam family: 5.8S ribosomal RNA (bases 1-106)
Source: RNAcentral
GAAAUGCGAUACGUAAUGCGAAUUGCAGAAUUCAGUGAAUCAUCAAAUCUUUGAACGCAAAUUGCGCUCACAGGAUAGGCCUGGGAGCAUGCCUCUUUGAGUAUCGUUUUCAUCUCCAUCUCAAUCCUUUUUUGGGAUUGGACAAUGAGUUGGUCUCACUCGAACAGGUGAGUCACUUUAAGUUGCGAUAAGAUUCAAACCUUCUCCUAGUGUGCUUUUCUCUUCAUUGAGAAAAGGCGCAAUAUCAUCGGCCCUCACUAGUUGAUGUGGAUAAUCUAUUUUUCUUACAUCACUUGGUGUUGUUUUGGCUAUGUGCUGUGUAAAACACUAAAAAUGAGAACAACCUGAACUUAGUGGAAAUUAAAAUUAUUUUUUGAAUUAGAUCUCAAAUGAAGCAAGA